AGGGGUGUAGCUCAAUUGGCAGAGCACUGGUUUCCAAAACCAGCGGCUGGGGGUUCGACUCCCUCCGCCCCUGCCA
RNAcentral lists this transfer RNA (76 nucleotides) under Planctomycetaceae bacterium. RNAcentral describes it as "tRNA-Trp". It matches the Rfam family "tRNA". From Rfam's summary of the family: Transfer RNA (tRNA) molecules are approximately 80 nucleotides in length. Their secondary structure includes four short double-helical elements and three loops (D, anti-codon, and T loops). RNAcentral also lists the same sequence under 1 other name. Lineage: Bacteria; Pseudomonadati; Planctomycetota; Planctomycetia; Planctomycetales; Planctomycetaceae. The record is from RNAcentral.